UACGUAGGGGGCGAGCGUUGUCCGGAAUUAUUGGGCGUAAAGAGCUCGUAGGCGGUUUGUCGCGUCUGCUGUGAAAACCUAAGGCUCAACCUUGGGCUUGCAGUGGGGUACGGGCAGACUAGAGUGCGGUAGGGGGUGACUGGAAUUCCUGGUGUAGCGGUGGAAUGCGCAGAUAUCAGGAGGGAACACCCGAUGGCGAAAGGGCAGGUCACUGGGGCCG
This 220-nucleotide ribosomal RNA is filed under the name uncultured bacterium. RNAcentral describes it as "partial 16S ribosomal RNA". It matches the Rfam family "Bacterial small subunit ribosomal RNA", at positions 524 to 736 of the family's 1533-position model. The record is from RNAcentral.